AUGAGGGCUGUUCAAGUACUGUUGCAUUCUGCAAGCACCACUAGCUUGCCUGGACACCAGAAGCUUCUCAGAAUUACAAUGAAUCUAAAUCGUGGAUAUUCAGUCAUUGUUCAUCCCAUAAACUGCCUGAUCAAUAUUUGAAGUGGAGAAAUCGAUGCUGACCGCUUUUGAGCAACACCUACUGGGACACACUGUGAAAUUAACUGCUGGGCUCUGGAACUUCACAUCUUAAAAUGUCAGAUCACGAGGACCUGAAUAAAGCCAUGGGACACUGGAACGCCUCUGAGAGCUAUCAGCUCAACCCAGCCAGUGUCAUUGUGUCUGUGGUCUUCUCGCUCAUCUUCCUCCUGGGGACCAUUGGGAAUAGUCUGGUACUGGCUGUGCUCCUCAGAAGUGGGCAGGUUGGGUACAACACCACCAAUCUGUUCAUCCUCAACCUCAGCGUAGCAGAUUUCUUCUUCAUCAUCUUCUGUGUGCCUUUCCAAGCAACCAUCUACUCCCUGGAGGGUUGGGUUUUCGGGUCCUUCAUGUGCAAGGUGGUUCACUUCUUCAUCAACCUCACCAUGUAUGCUAGCAGUUUCACCCUGGCCACGGU
Sinocyclocheilus grahami is the source of this 595-nucleotide long non-coding RNA. RefSeq lists it as uncharacterized. The transcript is spliced from 3 exons. The record is from RefSeq and is a predicted model, not a curated record. NCBI's taxonomy places the organism in Eukaryota, Metazoa, Chordata, Actinopteri, Cypriniformes, Cyprinidae.